GCCCCCGGUCCCUGUAUAUA
RNAcentral lists this microRNA (20 nucleotides) under Human alphaherpesvirus 1 (Herpes simplex virus type 1). RNAcentral's name for it is "hsv1-miR-H8-3p". Its record names the gene hsv1-miR-H8-3p. Lineage: Duplodnaviria; Heunggongvirae; Peploviricota; Herviviricetes; Herpesvirales; Orthoherpesviridae. The record is from miRBase by way of RNAcentral.